UGCGUAGGCGGAAAAUUAAGUCAGUGGUGAAAUCCUGCAGCUCAACUGUAGAACUGUCAUUGAUACUGAUUUUCUUGAAUUUAGUUGAGGUAGGCCGAAUGUGUAAUGUAGCGGUGAAAUGCUUAGAUAUUACACAGAACACCGAUUGCGAAGGCAGCUUACUAAGCUAACAUUGACGCUGAGGCACGAAAGCGUGGGGAGCGAACAGGAUUAGAUACCCUGGUAGUCC
This 229-nucleotide ribosomal RNA is filed under the name uncultured bacterium. RNAcentral describes it as "partial 16S ribosomal RNA". It matches the Rfam family "Bacterial small subunit ribosomal RNA", at positions 568 to 796 of the family's 1533-position model. The record is from RNAcentral.